ACAGUGGUGACGUCGGUGGGGUCCUUUCAGACUUUGUAAUCUAGCUAUAUCCGUUUGGAUAUGUAAGGUUAGUGUUGUCGUACAUGUGUGGAGACUUAUACAUGUGUGCUAUUGAGUGGCCAUGGCAACCUGUGCAGGAGAAAUAGUGUACCAGAAGGGAAGGCCUCAGGACUCGGAUGUAUGGGAUGAUGCGGUGCUAAUAAAGGCUUAUGACCGAGCAGUGCGCUUGUUCCAGGAUGCCAUGCAGAAAAAGAGUGGUGAAAGUGAUGAGCAUUCUGCCACUUCAGAGUCCGAGUGUGAGAGCAGCAGUAGUGUGGAACCUAAGAAAGAGAGCCGAAUG
This is a long non-coding RNA of Protopterus annectens (West African lungfish), 340 nucleotides long. RefSeq lists it as uncharacterized. The transcript has 3 exons. The record is from RefSeq and is a predicted model, not a curated record. NCBI's taxonomy places the organism in Eukaryota, Metazoa, Chordata, Ceratodontiformes, Protopteridae.